GUGAACGCCCUCACGGGCUCUAAACUAUUCCACAACCUCUGUGAACCGUUUGCCCCUCGGGGCUUUUUACAAACAUCUGUGUAAUGAACGUUUAAACAUUAACAAAACA
RNAcentral lists this unclassified non-coding RNA (109 nucleotides) under uncultured Tremellales. Its description in RNAcentral is "sequence contains ITS1". The record is from RNAcentral. Lineage: Eukaryota; Fungi; Basidiomycota; Tremellomycetes; Tremellales.